RNAcentral lists this ribosomal RNA (424 nucleotides) under uncultured Nitrosomonas sp. RNAcentral's name for it is "bacterial SSU rRNA". It matches the Rfam family "Bacterial small subunit ribosomal RNA", at positions 198 to 603 of the family's 1533-position model. Lineage: Bacteria; Pseudomonadati; Pseudomonadota; Betaproteobacteria; Nitrosomonadales; Nitrosomonadaceae. The record is from RNAcentral.
GGAGAAAAGUAGGGGAUCGAAAGACCUUAUGCUUUUGGAGCGGCCGAUGUCUGAUUAGCUAGUUGGUAAGGUAAUGGCUUACCAAGGCGACGAUCAGUAGUUGGUCUGAGAGGACGGCCAGCCACACUGGGACUGAGACACGGCCCAGACUCCUACGGGAGGCAGCAGUGGGGAAUUUUGGACAAUGGGCGCAAGCCUGAUCCAGCAAUGCCGCGUGAGUGAAGAAGGCCUUCGGGUUGUAAAGCUCUUUCAGUCGAGAAGAAAAGGUUGUGACUAAUAAUUGCAAUUUAUGACGGUAUCGACAGAAGUAGCACCGGCUAACUACGUGCCAGCAGCCGCGGUAAUACGUAGGGUGCGAGCGUUAAUCGGAAUUACUGGGCGUAAAGGGUGCGCAGGCGGCACUGUAAGUCAGAUGUGAAAUCCC